CCUACGGGUGGCAGCAGUGAGGAAUAUUGGUCAAUGGACGAGAGUCUGAACCAGCCAAGUAGCGUUAAGGAUGACUGCCCUAUGGGUUGUAAACUUCUUUUAUAUGGGAGUAAAAUGUUCCACGUGUGGGAUUUUGUAUGUACCAUAUGAAUAAGGAUCGGCUAACUCGGUGCCAGCAGCCGCGGUAAUACGGAGGAUCCGAACGUUAUCCGGAUUUAGUGGGUUUAAAGGGAGCGUAGGUGGAUUGUUAAGUCAGUUGUGAAAGUUUGCGGCGCAACCGUAAAAUUGCAGUUGAAACUGGGAGUCUUGAGUACAGUAGAGGUGGGCGGAAUUCGUGGUGUAGCGGUGAAAUGCUUAGAUAUCACGAAGAACUCCGAUUGCGAAGGCAGCUCACUGGACUGCAACUGACACUGAGGCUCGAAAGUGUGGGUAUCAAACAGGAUUAGAUACCCCAGUAGUC
This 460-nucleotide ribosomal RNA is filed under the name uncultured bacterium. RNAcentral describes it as "partial 16S ribosomal RNA". It matches the Rfam family "Bacterial small subunit ribosomal RNA", at positions 338 to 795 of the family's 1533-position model. The record is from RNAcentral.